GCCGCAACCGCGGCUCUGUCGGCUCCGUUUCUGGCGCUAUUGCUGCUACUGCCGCCACCGCGGCCAUGUCCCCUGGCGCUACUGCUACUGCACCUGCUACUGCCGAUGUCGCGGCUGGUGUCGCUGUCGCUGUUGCCGUUCGGGGCAGUAGCGGCAGGAGGUGUUGUCGCUCCAGGGAGGCCAUGUAGAGGGAGCACAGCAGGGUGGAUGUGACGGCACCCUGAGGGUGUGUGUGAAUGGGGGGUGGGGAUGUGGCGGAAGAGGGAGGGGAGCUGAGGCGGCGGCCUGCCUGCUUCUGUGCAUCUGUCUGUUUGCCUGUUUGUAUGCUUAUCUGUCUGUCUGUCUGUCUGUGGACGUCAUGAGCCGGAGUGCAAGAGGCCCUGAGGCCAACCUCACCACCACUUUGACCAACACCAGCAAUCACCAUCACUGACAACCAUCAACUUGUCCGGGCCCGCUGGGCCUAAUGGGAUGUCCCCUACCUCCCCCUCCCCCCCUCUCCCUCCCCGGGCUUUCCCAGGGGCGUCAAAUCACACCGCCACUUGUUAACCCACCUCCUUCCGUCCCACCUGCCCUGCACCUGGCCCCACGGCACACAACACAACCCACCUGCUCUCUAGUCCCACACGCAACCACACGUCCCUGCCAUCCACCCGAACAUACAGACCUGCGCAAUGCCCACCACCUGGCGGUGCCAGCUCCUGCCCAGUCUCAUCACGUUGGCCCCCACCGCCUGACGCAGCAGGGACAUCACCUCACCGCGGGGGACAGGGCGCUGCUGGGGGAGCUGAGCAAAAGGGGGGGAGGGGGAGGGGGGGUUACAAGGGGGAAGGGGCUAUAACGUCCCGUGGCAUAUCCGCCCCCUCCCGGCGGGAAAAGGCGGGGAGGGAGGAAUCACAUGCAAAAUGCUCAUUACGGCAAGAGGCCCCUGGGGCCCAGGGGGGCUGGAGGCAAGGGCGGUCAGGGAAGCGGGAAGAUGGGUCUUCUGGUGGGGCGGAUCCGCAAGUCACCUUGUCCAGGAACACGGUGUUGUAGGCCUCCGCUCUGUGUGCCGUCAGCCAGGCGGGGAAGCCGGGGUAGCUGCGAGCACCUGGGUGGGCGGCGUUGGCGGGGCGGG
RNAcentral lists this long non-coding RNA (1117 nucleotides) under Volvox carteri. RNAcentral describes it as "long non-coding RNA (VCAR_LNC003088)". The record is from RNAcentral. Lineage: Eukaryota; Viridiplantae; Chlorophyta; Chlorophyceae; Chlamydomonadales; Volvocaceae.